CCUACGGGAGGCAGCAGUGGGGAAUAUUGGGCAAUGGGCGCAAGCCUGACCCAGCAACGCCGCGUGAAGGAAGAAGGCUUUCGGGUUGUAAACUUCUUUUGUCAGGGACGAAGCAAGUGACGGUACCUGACGAAUAAGCCACGGCUAACUACGUGCCAGCAGCCGCGGUAAUACGUAGGUGGCAAGCGUUAUCCGGAUUUACUGGGUGUAAAGGGCGUGUAGGCGGGGAGGCAAGUCAGAUGUGAAAACCACGGGCUCAACCUGUGGCCUGCAUUUGAAACUGUUUUUCUUGAGUGCUGGGGAGGCAAUCGGAAUUCCGGGUGUAGCGGUGAAAUGCGUAGAUAUACGGAGGAACACCAGUGGCGAAGGCGGAUUGCUGGACAGUAACUGACGCUGAGGCGCGAAAGCGUGGGGAGCAAACAGGAUUAGAUACCCUUGUAGUC
This 443-nucleotide ribosomal RNA is filed under the name uncultured bacterium. RNAcentral's name for it is "partial 16S ribosomal RNA". It matches the Rfam family "Bacterial small subunit ribosomal RNA", at positions 338 to 795 of the family's 1533-position model. The record is from RNAcentral.